CGGGGCGUAGCUCAGCCUGGUAGAGCGCCUGCUUUGGGAGCAGGAGGUCGUUGGUUCGAAUCCAGUCGCCCCGACCA
RNAcentral lists this transfer RNA (77 nucleotides) under Alphaproteobacteria bacterium. RNAcentral's name for it is "tRNA-Pro". It matches the Rfam family "tRNA". Rfam says of the family: Transfer RNA (tRNA) molecules are approximately 80 nucleotides in length. Their secondary structure includes four short double-helical elements and three loops (D, anti-codon, and T loops). Further hydrogen bonds mediate the characteristic L-shaped molecular structure. tRNAs have two regions of fundamental functional importance: the anti-codon, which is responsible for specific mRNA codon recognition, and the 3' end, to which the tRNAs corresponding amino acid is attached (by aminoacyl-tRNA synthetases). tRNAs cope with the degeneracy of the genetic code in two manners: having more than one tRNA (with a specific anti-codon) for a particular amino acid; and 'wobble' base-pairing, i.e. permitting non-standard base-pairing at the 3rd anti-codon position. Lineage: Bacteria; Pseudomonadati; Pseudomonadota; Alphaproteobacteria. RNAcentral also lists the same sequence under 3 other names. The record is from RNAcentral.